AUCCAGUUGACGAGUCCCAAAUAGGACGAAAUGUUGGUUGCCUUGGAU
This 48-nucleotide non-coding RNA is filed under the name Trichobilharzia regenti. Lineage: Eukaryota; Metazoa; Platyhelminthes; Trematoda; Strigeidida; Schistosomatidae. The record is from RNAcentral.